Non-coding RNA from Ictidomys tridecemlineatus (thirteen-lined ground squirrel), 1264 nucleotides. The record is from RefSeq and is a predicted model, not a curated record. NCBI's taxonomy places the organism in Eukaryota, Metazoa, Chordata, Mammalia, Rodentia, Sciuridae.
CCAUGGGAUGGGGAAGGGCCUGCUGAGUUUGGGCCAGCAUUUCAACAGUCACUGCCUUGAAGACAGAACCUUAGCUGGGAGGAGUCAGAGCAUUGCACAGCCCAAUCCCCUCGGGUCUAGACCAGAAUUAGUCUAACUCCCCAGAUUCCUCUUCUGCUAUUCCUAAGCCAACCCACAGGCCCGCCCAAAGGGGCACCCCCUUAGCCCUUUUUGUCCAUUGGGCAGUCAGAGUGUGCACCUCACUUUGGCCCUGACCCCUCAAGGGGCUCUUCAUCGAAACGACAGCUUGUCCAUGGCACCCUGCUGUCCUGUGUGCUCCAGGCCUGGGGAGUUACUUCCUGUUCCAAGUUACAACUAAGGCCAGAGACCUCAGAAGUUGGGAGUGGGAAACUCCCCUGAACUCACUCACCUCCAGCGCCCCUCCCAACAUGUGUCACCAAGGAGCAGGCACACAGGUCCCCAGGAGAACACCAGUCUCACCGUCACUCUCAUGGUCUGCACUCACAGUCCUUCUGGCGGGCCUCUUUCCUCCACGGUGGCCCCACUCCCUUUCCUUCCAAGUUCCUUUGGGAAACUCAUAGGCAAACAUCUUUCCAGAGGGGUGAGGAGGUGCCUGCCUGUCAUCCCAGAGACUGGGGAUUCUUAAACAGGAGGAUUGCAAGGCCAUCCUAGGCAAUUCAGCCAGACCCUUUCUCAAAUUAAAGAAAUUAAAACGGGCUGCAGGAGUAGCUCAGUGGCCGCCACUCCUGGGUGCAAUCCCCAGCACUGUAAAAGAAGACAGAAAGAAAACAUCUCUCAGAGGGGGAUGAGGGAGUCACCCCAGCUGCCUGGGGCCUGGACCCUUGCUCGGGCGUCAGGACCCCAUCUGUCCAGCAUCAGCUAGACCUCCCAGCGUUGGUGGAUGAGAUCAGCCAGGGCAAGGGAGGUGGCCCCGGGAAGAGACCGACAGGCGCUGGCGCCACCUGCUGGAGGGGGCCCGCGGACAGCCCCACCUUCUUCCCGAUGGGCGUGUCUAGCCCUGAGUAGCAGAAGGCCCUGGCCACGUGUCCUUUCAGAAGAGAAAGUAAUCCAUAUCUUUUGCUCACUCAUUCAUUCACAAGUAUUUACUCAGGGCCGUCUGUGUAUCCUCGUGGAACAAGUGAUGAAAGUUGCCAGGUGUGAUGCACACACCUGUAAUCCCAGCAACUAGGGAGGCUGAGACAGGAGGAUUGUGAUUUCAAGGCCAGCUUCAACAAUUUAGUGAGGCCCUAAGCAGUUUAGUGAG